This 75-nucleotide transfer RNA is filed under the name bacterium ADurb.Bin157. Its description in RNAcentral is "tRNA-Val". It matches the Rfam family "tRNA". From Rfam's summary of the family: Transfer RNA (tRNA) molecules are approximately 80 nucleotides in length. The record is from RNAcentral.
GGGCGCUUAGCUCAGUUGGAAGAGCUCCUGGUUUACACCCAGGUGGUCGGCGGUUCGAGCCCGUCAGCGCCCACC